CUUAUCAAGAGUGGCGGAGGGAACGGCCCGAUGAAGCCCGGCAACCUGCAUGAUUUGCAAGGUGCCAAAUCCGGCGGUAGAAAUCGAAAGAUGAGG
Molecule: non-coding RNA, 96 nt
Filed under: uncultured Intestinimonas sp.
Lineage: Bacteria; Bacillati; Bacillota; Clostridia; Eubacteriales
Description: SAM riboswitch (S box leader)
Rfam family: SAM riboswitch aptamer (S box leader)
About the family: The SAM riboswitch is found upstream of a number of genes which code for proteins involved in methionine or cysteine biosynthesis in Gram-positive bacteria. The SAM riboswitch acts at the level of transcription termination control.
Source: RNAcentral